CACAUAGACAUUUAAUCAUCUCACAACAUCACAAGAAGUAGGGUCUGACAGGCAACUUUGGACCACAUCCAGUCUUGUUGAGGUGCCCGUGCUUCUAUCUAGGUUACUGUCUCUUGGAUUGCUCAUUCUGGGGGAAAACAGCUGCCGUGUGGUGAGGAAAGAUACACACAAUGAAGAACUGAACCAAAAACCAUGUGAGUGAGUCAUCUUGGAGCAGCUCCUUGGCAUCAUUCAAGGCUUGACAUGAUGGCAGCUCCAGAUGACAUUGACUGCAACAUCAUAAGAUAUCCUAACCAGAUCUACCCUGCUAACCUGUUCCUGGAUCUGACCUUUGGGAACUGUGUGAGAUAAUAAAUACUGCUUUAACUGCUAA
Long non-coding RNA from Felis catus (domestic cat), 373 nucleotides. RefSeq lists it as uncharacterized. NCBI's taxonomy places the organism in Eukaryota, Metazoa, Chordata, Mammalia, Carnivora, Felidae. The transcript has 3 exons. The record is from RefSeq and is a predicted model, not a curated record.